Molecule: ribosomal RNA, 491 nt
Filed under: uncultured bacterium
Lineage: Bacteria
Description: partial 16S ribosomal RNA
Rfam family: Bacterial small subunit ribosomal RNA
Source: RNAcentral
AGUGAACGCUGGCGGUAGGCCUAACACAUGCAAGUCGAACGGCAGCACAGUAAGAGCUUGCUCUUACGGGUGGCGAGUGGCGGACGGGUGAGGAAUACAUCGGAAUCUACUUUUUCGUGGGGGAUAACGUAGGGAAACUUACGCUAAUACCGCAUACGACCUACGGGUGAAAGCAGGGGAUCUUCGGACCUUGCGCGAUUGAAUGAGCCGAUGUCGGAUUAGCUAGUUGGCGGGGUAAAGGCCCACCAAGGCGACGAUCCGUAGCUGGUCUGAGAGGAUGAUCAGCCACACUGGAACUGAGACACGGUCCAGACUCCUACGGGAGGCAGCAGUGGGGAAUAUUGGACAAUGGGCGCAAGCCUGAUCCAGCCAUACCGCGUGGGUGAAGAAGGCCUGCGGGUUGUAAAGCCCUUUUGUUGGGAAAGAAAAGCAGCAGGUUAAUACCCCGCUGUUCGGACGGUACCCAAAGAAUAAGCACCGGCGAACUUCGU